Long non-coding RNA from Etheostoma spectabile (orangethroat darter), 92 nucleotides. RefSeq lists it as uncharacterized. The record is from RefSeq and is a predicted model, not a curated record. The transcript is spliced from 3 exons. NCBI's taxonomy places the organism in Eukaryota, Metazoa, Chordata, Actinopteri, Perciformes, Percidae.
CAUUGACUUCCAAAAUCUAAUCAGUUCAUCCUUAAGUCCCAGUGGAUGUUGGUGCCAAAUUUGAAGAAAUUCUUUUAUUUUUAAGAUAUUGC